GUCUUUUUGAGUAUAAUUUAAACUCUGGCCUGCCCACUGAUUUAUUUAAGGGCCGCAGUAUUUUGACUGUGCAAAGGUAGCAUAAUCAUUAGUUUUUUAAUUGGAAGCUGGAAUGAAUGGUUGGACGAAAUAAUAACUGUCUCUAAUAAAUUUAAUGAAUUUAAUUUUUAAUUUAAAAAGAUUAAAUUUUUGUAAAAGACGAGAAGACCCUAUAGAUCUUUAUAUUAUUAUAUUAAAAUAAAUUAAGAUUUAUUUAUUAUUUUAUUAAACUUAAUAUUUUAUUGGGGUAAUAUUAAGAUUUAGUAAAUUCUUAUUUUUUAUUUCAUUGAUUAAUGAUUUUAUGAUCCUGUAUUAUAGGAUAUUAGAUUAAGUUACCUUAGGGAUAACAGCGUAAUUUUUUUUUAGAGUUCUUAUCGAUAAAAAAGUUUGCGACCUCGAUGUUGGAUUAAAAUUAAUUUUAGGUGUAGUAGUUUAAAGUUUUGGUCUGUUCGACCAUUGAAAUUUUACA
This 508-nucleotide ribosomal RNA is filed under the name Laccodytes sp. UNM KBMLmsp764. RNAcentral describes it as "partial 16S ribosomal RNA". The stretch from base 382 to 508 matches the Rfam family "Bacterial large subunit ribosomal RNA", at positions 2473 to 2600 of the family's 2925-position model. Lineage: Eukaryota; Metazoa; Arthropoda; Insecta; Coleoptera; Dytiscidae. The record is from RNAcentral.